This 3429-nucleotide unclassified non-coding RNA is filed under the name Dermacentor andersoni. RNAcentral's name for it is "uncharacterized LOC126526609". The record is from RNAcentral. Lineage: Eukaryota; Metazoa; Arthropoda; Arachnida; Ixodida; Ixodidae.
GACGGAAGGAAGACACGUUUUCAACGGAAUAAUCGUACGCUUUGAGCUAACUGCUUUACUUUUACUGGAAAGGAAGACAGUUUUGCUUUAUCAAGAACGUGAGGUUCAGUGCCUUCACUUCAGUUUUAUAAGCAAAACGUCAAGUUUACGUCACGUUACGAAAGCAAAACAAGGACAUCAGCGCCAUUUUGUAAGCGUCGCGUCUACGUCACGCUUCGAAGAAAAUGGCGGAAUUUCCAGAAUAAACUGUAGUGCCUGUGGGUCACUCUAGCUGUGGUAAACGACAUCACCGCCAGCACGACCGCCAGCGCUUGUGUGAACAUUGUGCUAAGGAACGGAAGAAGGUGUACCGGUGCGUGUCUGCACGAUGGCUUAAUGUGUGGUUUGGUGCCGGUGUGCGUUGUGCGACCUUCGUUCAACGAUCGAUGCCGUGCCGUCGUGCGCGAGUUCUUUCAAACAGGGUCUAGCCACUGGUCUAGUCUUUCACGACUCGAGUGGCGUACAACGACAGCUGCAUCAUGCCAAAGGAAGACGCCGAACCACCGCGCUGCGCCGUGUGCGGCCUGCAGCGCGCCCCGAACGCCGUGCUGCUCCCUUUCCCCGACCGGCGCCAGUCGAAGCUCUACGGCGCCUGGCUCGACUUCGUGCGCGGCUGCCCCGGCAAAAGCAACUGGCUGCCCGACAGUCGCACCGGCUUCGUCUGUACUCUGCACUUCACCUCCAAAUGGCUUAGGCGCACCACGGGCUCUGCCUACCACAACAAUUCACUGUUACUUAGAACCGCCACGGUGCCCACGCUCUACACGAGCCCGGAGAAACGCCGCCGCAUCGCCGAGGGCAGUAGCAGCGCUGCGCCCAUCCAGGCGGUUGGGGGGUCGGAGUUACAAAGUACCUCGCUCGCUUCUACGAAUGCCAGCCACCGCCAGCUGAUAGAUAUGCACGACGCAAACCAGCUCUCAGUCAACAGUGGCCAAGGCUGCUCUCGCACCUGGGACAGGAAGCCAGACAGCUGCCUGACAGUGGGCGGCCACUUUGCCAACUCUGUGGACCUCCCCAUGCUGCACGUGCAGCAGGAACAAAGCAGUUGUAUUUCCAUAGCUAGUGCCAGUAGCAGCACCAGCACCACUGUGGUUGCCAAGACAUGCUCUGACCCUAAGAAAACUGUGAGCAGCACAAAAAGCCUCAGCACACACAGUCUUCCAGAUACAGGUCGUGUUCCCAUCUAUGCCAGUGUACGACGCACAGUUGGGGCUCGUCGUACUCUGUCUGAGGACACAGACGCAAUGGCGGGAGCAGCACAGGGCAUGGGUGCCACGGAAUUGGAGAGACCACGAUUAGGCAUCCUCACCAGGUUUGCACAGAACCUCGUGAAGAAUGUGAAGAACUCUGAGCAACAGGAAUCAAGCACAGGCCUCGCUGCAAGCAGAGACAACAACAUUCGUGAAUUGGAUGCUGGAGGAGAAGACUUCACUGCUGCAUCUAAUGAGCCCUGGAGCGAGGAGGAGACCAAGCUGCUUCUAGAUUACUACACGACGUACAUACCCCAGAUUGGGCCCCACGACCGUUUCAAGACAAAAAAGCUCAUGUACGAGGAAAUUGCUCGAGAAAUGUCUCGCGUGUUAAAUGUUCAGCGGACCGGAGCGCAGUGUAAGUCUAGACUGUCCACUUUGCGAAAACAAAGGAGGAAGGCCGACAAAAAUUACGAAACAUCCGGCGAUGCCAGAUGUUCUGCUCCCUGUGGAGCGAAGUUUACCAUCGAUGACGUCCUUGUGCCAGAGGUGCUCCUGGAGUGUGAAAAGUGACCUAAACCACUGGGACAGAAAACACCUGCCUCUGUGACUGCAUCCACAAAAAGCCUCCGGGUGCAAGACGAGCACGCUUCCUCGAUGCCACGGCGGAUCCAUGGUUCUGGCUGACUAAAGGAGUGCCUAGCGUGUGCGUUCAUGAUGCUCCAAGAACUACAAAGAGUGUAAUACUUAAGCAGUCUUAAGUGUAUUUACCGUGUUUCUUUUUUAAUAUGACAAUUUUAAUUACUGUAUAUCACUAUGAAUUAAAUUUUUCAAAUGUAGUGAGACAGGUGGAGUAUUGUCACAGCAUAUAGAAACAUCUUGUGCAUUUUGUAGGGGCAGAACAGAAAGGUCUCUGUGGGAAAAUAAUAACAUAUAAAGAAAUAGACUGACGCAACAUUAUCCUUGUAUUUGAAAAAAAACCAUGUGCGCUACAAUACAAACACUGUUUUGGGAUCUUUGCAAUAAACAAAAGAUUUCGGGAAAAAGGUCCCCUUUCGUCGUGGCAGAAUUGAAGUGCAAAGCACCGAAUUGUCAAAAUACGAACAUGAGGUUAGUGGAAAGAAGGACAAGCACAGGCACUUUGUGUCAGAAGGUCGUACCGGAUGUUCUCGCUCCAUUCUCACCCCAUUCUCUUUUUCAGUGCCCAGAGAACGACUCUGGAUUUUGGCACGUCUCUUGAAGGUUGCCGACAAUGGAGGCUAAAAGGUUUUCAUGCUUAAAAAUCUUUCACAUUUACUACCAAACACCCCACUUAAAAAUGCACCGCCAAACAUGGUACUGCCUUUGCUAAAGCGGUCGUCUGAAGCAGUACAUUUCACUCAGAAGUGAAAUGGGUUUACUUUAGGAAAGCAGAAUGUUCAAUUUACUAAAAGCCUACUGUUCGUUGUCAAUUUUUUGCAGCCAGUGUAAAGAUUAGACGAAUCCACAAACGUGUACGCCGUGACUGAAGGAGAUAAGGCGGCUCGACCACCGUUUUCAUUUAUUUGUUGUAUCUUUCGUGAGGGAGGAGGCUCCGGACAUGGAGAGAAACUGCAAUUCACAUUUAUUAUUUGCUAUAGGUAGUUCUAAAAAGGGCCUCACACCAUUGGAUAUCUUAUUUGAUUUGCAAUACUCUAUUGGAGCAGCUCUUUAAUUUUUGUAAAAGAACUGCCAAGCUCGACACUCAUGCUUCCCCUGAUGCUGUUUUCCCCGCAUGGCUCUCGCGUCCCCCGUGAUCCAACUUCUCUGCCUAGCUAAGCCCCGGCUGCGGUCGGUGUCGUUGCAGCAUGUUACGAGAUGGGGCGAGUGCUGUGCUGCUAACGCCACCUAGUGGCGGGGUUGCUCGGGAGCAACAGAGAGUUGGCUCUUCCUCUCGGGGGUCGGCGAGCCGCGCGCCCCUUCUGCGCAAGAGGCUUAGCAGCACAACACUGCAAUGGACGAACGUGAUGAUUCAAACGUGCCUAGUGUUCGCGUGACCAUACACACGAACGAAAAGGUGUUGGUGUCUAGCAUGCGGGCAAACAUUCACUCGCUGUCCGGUCGCGGUGAGUCGGACUUGCUCGAUUUGUCCCGCACUCAUCAGCAUUUUCUCUCAGUAAUAAUUCGACUGGCUAUAGAUUGGUGUAUCAAGGCGCAAUAAAUAUGCUUGUGAUUGUCUGCA